Molecule: long non-coding RNA, 397 nt
Filed under: Medicago truncatula (barrel medic)
Lineage: Eukaryota; Viridiplantae; Streptophyta; Magnoliopsida; Fabales; Fabaceae
Description: long non-coding RNA (MTRU_LNC008734)
Source: RNAcentral
AAGCACCUCUUCUCCAUCAUCAUCUCUACCUCCAGGAGUAGCACAAACACCCUCUGGAAAUGGAAUAGCACCAUCUCCUUAUCAAUUUAACAACCCAACAUCACCUUCAUCUUCACCUUCAGCUAGUUCACCGGUGUCAACCACUACCUCGCCUCCAGCUUCCACUCCAGCUAGUUCACCGGUGUCAACCACUACCUCGCCUCCAGCUUCCACUCCGGCAAGUUCUCCGGUGCCAACCACUACUUCACCUCCAGCUCCUACUCCGGCUAGUUCCCCAGUGUCAACCAAUUCUCCAACAGCAUCUCCUGCGGGUUCCUUGCCGGCAGCAGCAACUCCAUCACCUUCGUCUACUACUGCAGGAAGUCCGUCACCGUCCUCCACCCCUCCAGGAACGCGU